CCACCGGAGCUUGCUCCACCGGAAAAAGAGGAGUGGCGAACGGGUGAGUAACACGUGGGUAACCUGCCCAUCAGAAGGGGAUAACACUUGGAAACAGGUGCUAAUACCGUAUAACAAUCGAAACCGCAUGGUUUUGAUUUGAAAGGCGCUUUCGGGUGUCGCUGAUGGAUGGACCCGCGGUGCAUUAGCUAGUUGGUGAGGUAACGGCUCACCAAGGCCACGAUGCAUAGCCGACCUGAGAGGGUGAUCGGCCACAUUGGGACUGAGACACGGCCCAAACUCCUACGGGAGGCAGCAGUAGGGAAUCUUCGGCAAUGGACGAAAGUCUGACCGAGCAACGCCGCGUGAGUGAAGAAGGUUUUCGGAUCGUAAAACUCUGUUGUUAGAGAAGAACAAGGAUGAGAGUAACUGUUCAUCCCUUGACGGUAUCUAACCACAAAGCCACGGCUAACUACG
This 456-nucleotide ribosomal RNA is filed under the name Enterococcus faecium. RNAcentral describes it as "bacterial SSU rRNA". It matches the Rfam family "Bacterial small subunit ribosomal RNA", at positions 69 to 505 of the family's 1533-position model. The record is from RNAcentral. Lineage: Bacteria; Bacillati; Bacillota; Bacilli; Lactobacillales; Enterococcaceae.